RNAcentral lists this ribosomal RNA (475 nucleotides) under uncultured bacterium. RNAcentral's name for it is "partial 16S ribosomal RNA". It matches the Rfam family "Bacterial small subunit ribosomal RNA", at positions 28 to 507 of the family's 1533-position model. The record is from RNAcentral.
GAUGAACGCUAGCGGCAGGCCUAACACAUGCGAGUCGAGGGAUAAGCCUUCGGGCUUAGACCGGCGCACGGGUGCGUAACGCGUAUACAAUCUGCCUUUUAUCCUGGGUAUAGCACGAAGAAAUUUGGAUUAAUACCCUAUUGUAUAAGAGCACGGCAUCGUGCACUUAUUAACGCUACUGCGGUAAAAGAUGAGUAUGCGUUCUAUUAGCUAGUAGGAGAGGUAACGGCUCCCCAAGGCGACGAUAGAUAGGGGGUCUGAGAGGGAUGUCCCCCGCACUGGUACUGAGAUACGGACCAGACUCCUACGGGAGGAAGCAGUGAGGAAUAUGGGACAAGGGUCGGAAGACGGAUCCAGCCAUGCCGGGUGCAGGAUGACGGCGUUAUGGGUUGUAAACUGCUUUUGUAAGGGAAGAAUAAGGAGUACGUGUACUUUGAUGACGGUACCUUACGAAUAAGCAUCGGCUAACUCCGUG